AUUUAUGACUACUGACUGCUCUAAAGGCACCAGAUCUCAUCUGAUCUUGGAAGCUAAGCAGAAUCAGCCCUGGUUAGGACUUGGAUAGGAGACCGCCAAUGAAUACCAGGUGCUAUAGGCU
RNAcentral lists this ribosomal RNA (121 nucleotides) under Anolis carolinensis (green anole). The record is from RNAcentral. Lineage: Eukaryota; Metazoa; Chordata; Lepidosauria; Squamata; Anolidae.